CUUCUGUUCAUGCAGGGCUGUCUGGGCUUUGAUGGCGGAGUCUCUGGCACAGUACGUGAGGAAUGCACAACCCUUGUGCAUGCCGGUGUAGCGGUCCUUGAGCACGGUGAGCUCGUAGAUCUUGCCGAACUGCUCGAAGAGCGGCUUGAGGUCCUUCUCCUCCAGGUUGCGCGGGAUCUGCCCCACGAAGAGCUUGAUGGCAUCCAGGUCCUUCAUGCUGUCGGGCUGCGCGGGGGGCUCCGCGCCGCCGCUGCUGCUCAUGGGGGAGGCUCGGCGCGGCGGCGGGGGCUGCGGCGCGGGCGGGAGCGGCGGCGGCUGCGGCUGCCUCCUCGCCUCGCCCUCGCGGAGUCUGGCCAUGCCCCGCGCCCGGCGCGGCUGCG
This 380-nucleotide long non-coding RNA is filed under the name Gallus gallus (chicken). The record is from RNAcentral. Lineage: Eukaryota; Metazoa; Chordata; Aves; Galliformes; Phasianidae.